RNAcentral lists this long non-coding RNA (684 nucleotides) under Anser brachyrhynchus (Pink-footed goose). Its description in RNAcentral is "lncRNA (ENSABRG00000003614.1)". Lineage: Eukaryota; Metazoa; Chordata; Aves; Anseriformes; Anatidae. The record is from RNAcentral.
UUUGCUCCUUCUGAAGCCUCUAUAUAUGAAGGGUUAUUUAUUGUGGCACUAGCACUUGCUAAAACUUAAUGGGAAAAAAAUAUUGUAAGCAUCACCAUGGUAUUUGUCACAGUUGCAAGUAAUAAUUUUGUUUCCAAAAUCUGUCUGCUCAUUCUUCUUCUUUUUCCUCCCCCCCCCCUUUUUUUUUUCUUCAGAAAAGAUGCCCUGCUGAUAUGAAAAUUGCAUAUGCUGCACUUGGAUGGACAGAUUAAAAACACCCAGAACCAAGCUUAUUCAUGGAGGAACCAGGUGAAAUUUCCUAUUCAGGUAUGUGCCGCAUGGUGUAUUGAGGGUAGAUACAAACUCUGCUCAUGCUCUGAGGUGACCAAAAUCUGUAUGACCAGAGGAGUGUGCUGCAGCAUACUGGCAGUGAGCACCAGCUGGAGGCUCCUCUGGAUCCAUGCAUCCCACCUGGAAUUCAGGCACAGCUCACACAAUGAUGUGAUGGGCAGCAGGGCUGUAGCUAUGAUUAAAGACUGAUUGCUAACCCAGUUCCUGUCUGCAGGAUUAGAUACUGCUCAGGAGAAAUAUGUUCCAAGUGACAGCAUCUUUGACAACUUGUACUUUUUGUUCUACCUUUUGUUCUUCUUCCUGUGAAAAGCCAUGUGAUGAAGAUUGCUGGAGAACAUUGAUACCUUCCCUACU